GCGGGGUGGUGCGGUCUCAGGGCGUGGCGCAUGCGCGGAGAGGGAGGCGAGCUCACUGCGGGUGGCGCUGGCGGCCCCUGUUAAGGUUAGGGUUGGAGCGCUGAAGCCAUUGCCCGGCCUCGGUUCCUUUCCCGGGUGCCGGCCUCCGUUGACUUUAGCGGAUCCGCUGCGAUUCCCCGCCAGUCAGCGACUCCGCGUUCCAUUGCUUGCCAGUGGGGACAUUCGAUGACGAUUUAUGCACUAGGAUGUCUCUCUCGAAUUUUUAAAGAAAAAGGAUGGAUAUAUGCAGUUACCACAUUAGCAUAAUUAUCGGAUGUUGGGAAAUGUUAGAAAUUCUUGCGUGGUAGGAAUACACAGAUGAUUAUUUAUACUUAUGUAUAUUCAAUUUUUCCACAGUAAAAACGAUGUAUUGUCAGCAAGGAACCCCAAGUAAACCUUAUUUAAAGUCUAAUGGAUGGGGAGCCUCACACUGGAAUAGGGGGUGUCUGUCCUGAGAACUCUCCUCAAUAAACCUGUGUGUGCUAAUUCUC
This is a long non-coding RNA of Leopardus geoffroyi (Geoffroy's cat), 530 nucleotides long. RefSeq lists it as uncharacterized. The transcript is spliced from 2 exons. NCBI's taxonomy places the organism in Eukaryota, Metazoa, Chordata, Mammalia, Carnivora, Felidae. The record is from RefSeq and is a predicted model, not a curated record.